Long non-coding RNA from Mus musculus (house mouse), 420 nucleotides. RefSeq annotates it as predicted gene, 31502. The transcript is spliced from 3 exons. NCBI's taxonomy places the organism in Eukaryota, Metazoa, Chordata, Mammalia, Rodentia, Muridae. The record is from RefSeq and is a predicted model, not a curated record.
CCGGUGGGGGCAGGGUUCUGUCUCUUUUCAGCUGGAUGCCGGCGGUGCUUUCCUGCAUCGCUGCUAUGGAGACAAAGCACAGGAGAGGUGGUCUCCAAGCAAACUCUGAAAGUGACUCCGAGGAAAAUGGAUCCUGGAAACAUGUUCAACUGCAUGCUUCAAGAUCAUGCCUGACCCAGACUUUGGAGUGGGGACUUGAGAGAUCACACCAGGACGUGUGGGUGCAGACAGGAGUAAGAAAAAUAUGAUCCCAGUCAUCUCCUUAAUGGCCAGGAAAUGGAAAGAGAUACCAAGAGAUUGGGACUGUACAAUUCCCGUCAAAGACAAGCUGCUAAUGACCUAAGAGGUAUUGACUAGGCUCCAUCUCCCGAAGGUUCCAGCACUUCCUAAUAGCACCACCACAGCCGUCAAGCAUGGACA